This 409-nucleotide ribosomal RNA is filed under the name bacterium. RNAcentral describes it as "partial 16S ribosomal RNA". It matches the Rfam family "Bacterial small subunit ribosomal RNA", at positions 355 to 776 of the family's 1533-position model. The record is from RNAcentral.
UGGGGAAUAUUGCACAAUGGGCGAAAGCCUGAUGCAGCGACGCCGCGUGAGGGAUGACGGCCUUCGGGUUGUAAACCUCUUUCAGCAGGGACGAAGCGCAAGUGACGGUACCUGCAGAAGAAGCACCGGCUAACUACGUGCCAGCAGCCGCGGUAAUACGUAGGGUGCAAGCGUUGUCCGGAAUUACUGGGCGUAAAGAGUUCGUAGGCGGUUUGUCGCGUCGUUUGUGAAAACCAGCAGCUCAACUGCUGGCUUGCAGGCGAUACGGGCAGACUUGAGUAAUGGAGGGGAGACUGGAAUUCCUGGUGUAGCGGUGAAAUGCGCAGAUAUCAGGAGGAACACCGGUGGCGAAGGCGGGUCUCUGGGCAGUAACUGACGCUGAGGAACGAAAGCGUGGGUAGCGAACAGG